AGGAUACGGGACAGCGACUUUUUACACUGAAUUACCAAAUUCGCAACAUGUUGCAGCAACAUUUGCUUAAGCAUGUGCAGCUUGGCAACAUGUUGAAUGUAAGUGUGCAUCAUAUUGCUAUGUUAUUACGUGAUCAUGUUAAAUAAAUACUUAUAAGAUAUUUUAUUAACAUUGAAUUGGGAACCAAUUUCUGCUAUGUUAUUAACUGGUCAAGUUAAAUAAAUACUUAUAGGAUAUUUUAUAAACAUUGAAUUGGGAAAACAAAUGUGUGAAGUUUCUGAAAUUUACAUCCUAUAGAAAACAUAGGUUGGAAACCUGGGUAUCUAGAUGUCCGUAUAGAGGGUUGAAUGGUAAGAGAACACAAAUUAAUGGAGAUAUAUAUAGGAGCACGCAAAGAAUAAAAUUAUAAUAGGAAGACAUCAAAAUUAAUUAAUGCUACUUAGAGUAAAUAUACGUCUGUCCCGUAUCCUUACUACUUGGUGGCGCCACCUAUCGGCGAUAAUGUGAACUAACUUCGAUCUUAAUCCUGUUUCUCAACCAUGUAAAAUCCUCUCAAAUCGAUCCUUCGCUCAUUUAUAUUCUCUCUCCUCCCACUUACUGUCAAUGAACCUGUUUUUACGAUUGGUCCCGUGUUGCGAUUCAAACAACCCUCAAACAGCAAAGUGCCUAUAUAAUAACUACUCACAGCUAACAGCUAGGACAUAAACUAGUAAUCUUUCAACAACGAUGGAUGACCUUGAAAUCAUUUUUAUCGAUUCCCAACCGGAAUCAACCAUAAAUCUGGACUCUCAGCCGAGCUCCGUAGACCUGUCCUUGAUUUUUGGGAUUAAGACUCAAACCUAUCUCGAGAGCAACUUGACCUGGUUAAGUGACAUUAAAUGGGAUGAUGACGACGAUGACCCAAGGAAUGCAACGUCUAAUAAUGAUAAUCCAGCAUACAUUUUCCCGGAUGAUGACAACAUUUUCGAUUUAGUAGAUAAUCAGGAUGAUGAUAAAAGAUCUCAACUCCAGGAACUACUUCGG
Molecule: long non-coding RNA, 1023 nt
Organism: Drosophila pseudoobscura
Lineage: Eukaryota; Metazoa; Arthropoda; Insecta; Diptera; Drosophilidae
Exons: 2
Source: RefSeq, a predicted model, not a curated record